RNAcentral lists this transfer RNA (100 nucleotides) under Phycisphaerae bacterium. RNAcentral describes it as "tRNA-Sec". It matches the Rfam family "Selenocysteine transfer RNA". The record is from RNAcentral. Lineage: Bacteria; Pseudomonadati; Planctomycetota; Phycisphaerae.
GGGAGCGUCCGUGCACCUGGUGGGCACCGCGGCCUUCAAAGCCGUUGAAGGGCUGUACCCGCAGUCCUUGGUGGGUUCGAUUCCCAUCCGCUCCCGUCCA